RNAcentral lists this long non-coding RNA (255 nucleotides) under Phoenix dactylifera (date palm). RNAcentral's name for it is "long non-coding RNA (PDAC_LNC008416)". Lineage: Eukaryota; Viridiplantae; Streptophyta; Magnoliopsida; Arecales; Arecaceae. The record is from RNAcentral.
CUAAGGGCUCGUUUGGUUCGCGGGAAGUAUUUUCCCUCCUAGGAAUAUGAUUCCUGGGAAUCAGAUUCCUAGGAAGAGGAUACCUAGGAAAGUACUUUUGGCAUGUUUGGUUAACCAUGGGAAAGUGACAAAUUUCCAAAGUGCUUAUGUUUGGUUGACCAUCCACUUUCCUAGGAAAGUUAAGUAUAAUUCCUAUUAUGCCCUUAAUAAAAAUUAGGUCUUUAAUGCCUCUUUAAUGCUUCUUUAAUGCUAAAG